GGGUCUCGUAGCUAGCUCUGUAAACGUGGAUGAUCACGUGGGUUUCGCAAAGCGUUUCUUACAGAGUUCUUUGGCAUUCUGUCCACCUCCUCUUUCUUCGAUCUCUUUCUCCCUCUCUUGCUGUGUAUGUAUGUGGUUUAAUGGAUGGAGGUGGGCAUACUGCCAACAGAGUUCUGUUGGAUUCUCUUUGUAAAACCCUCGUGAGUGUAUAUAUGUAUCGUUACGCAGUACUCGAUCC
Molecule: non-coding RNA, 238 nt
Organism: Malus domestica (apple)
Lineage: Eukaryota; Viridiplantae; Streptophyta; Magnoliopsida; Rosales; Rosaceae
Gene: MIR394B
Product: microRNA MIR394b
Source: RefSeq, marked provisional